UACGGACUUAAAAUCCGUUGGCUUUUUAGACCAUGAGGGUUCAAGUCCCUCUACCCCCA
This 59-nucleotide transfer RNA is filed under the name Odontoschisma denudatum. RNAcentral describes it as "partial tRNA-Leu". It matches the Rfam family "tRNA", at positions 25 to 71 of the family's 71-position model. Rfam says of the family: Transfer RNA (tRNA) molecules are approximately 80 nucleotides in length. Their secondary structure includes four short double-helical elements and three loops (D, anti-codon, and T loops). Lineage: Eukaryota; Viridiplantae; Streptophyta; Jungermanniopsida; Jungermanniales; Cephaloziaceae. The record is from RNAcentral. RNAcentral also lists the same sequence under 1 other name.